Colletotrichum navitas is the source of this 110-nucleotide non-coding RNA. The record is from the annotation of a RefSeq genome assembly. NCBI's taxonomy places the organism in Eukaryota, Fungi, Ascomycota, Sordariomycetes, Glomerellales, Glomerellaceae.
GUCUUUGUGGCUCAGCUGGUAGAGCGUUGGUCUCAUAUUAUCGUUAUAUAUGACUCGGGAAGUUAGCCAGGGAUAUCCAAAGGUCGCAAGUUCGAGCCUUGCCAGGGACA